Molecule: RNase P RNA, 460 nt
Filed under: Longibacter salinarum
Lineage: Bacteria; Pseudomonadati; Rhodothermota; Rhodothermia; Rhodothermales; Salisaetaceae
Description: Bacterial RNase P class A
Rfam family: Bacterial RNase P class A
About the family: Ribonuclease P (RNase P) is a ubiquitous endoribonuclease, found in archaea, bacteria and eukarya as well as chloroplasts and mitochondria. Its best characterised activity is the generation of mature 5'-ends of tRNAs by cleaving the 5'-leader elements of precursor-tRNAs.
Source: Rfam by way of RNAcentral
CGUGCGGACCGGAUUGUCGCUCCGUCGGCCUACGUCGGCGGUGAGGAAAGUCCGAACACCAUAGGGCACCGUGCUUCCUAACGGGAAGACCCCGAUUGGCGCAUCCGACUGGAUGAGCUGCCGACUCGGGUAUGGCACGUGCAACAGAGAGAAGUCCCGCCGAUGACUGCGCCUUCGGGCGCGGCACAGGUAAGGGGUGAAAGGGUGCGGUAAGAGCGCACCGGCGCUCUCGGGUGACCGGGGCGGCCAGGCAAACCCCACGGGGUGCAAGACCCAGCAGCACCGCACGAUUCGAAAGGUCCUCCUUUCGGGUCGAUAUGGCGGCCCGUCGAACCGCGGUGCGGGUAGGUUGCUCGAGAUGUCCGGCGACGGGCGUCCCAGAUAGAUGAUGAUCUCCUUCACGCGGCACGCGGCGGCCCGCAGAAGAAGACAGAAUUCGGCUUACAGGUUCGCACGCGCC